UACGGAAGGCAGCAGUGGGGAAUAUUGCACAAUGGGCGCAAGCCUGAUGCAGCCAUGCCGCGUGUAUGAAAAGGCCUUCGGGUUGUAAAGUACUUUCAGUCGUGAGGAAAGGUGUUAAGGUUAAUAACCUUAGCAAUUGACGUUAGCGACAGAAGAAGCACCGGCUAACUCCGUGCCAGCAGCCGCGGUAAUACGGAGGGUGCGAGCGUUAAUCGGAAUUACUGGGCGUAAAGGGCACGCAGGCGGUUAAUUAAGUUGGAUGUGAAAUCCCCGGGCUUAACCUGGGAAUGGCAUUCAAGACUGGUUAGCUAGAGUCUUGUAGAGGGGGUAGAAUUCCAUGUGUAGCGGUGAAAUGCGUAGAGAUGUGGAGGAAUACCGGUGGCGAAGGCGGCCCCUGGACAAAGACUGACGCUCAUGUGCGAAAGCGUGGGGAGCAAACAGGGAUUAGAUACC
RNAcentral lists this ribosomal RNA (453 nucleotides) under uncultured bacterium. Its description in RNAcentral is "bacterial SSU rRNA". It matches the Rfam family "Bacterial small subunit ribosomal RNA", at positions 340 to 786 of the family's 1533-position model. The record is from RNAcentral.